This is a long non-coding RNA of Anguilla anguilla (European eel), 199 nucleotides long. RefSeq lists it as uncharacterized. The transcript has 3 exons. The record is from RefSeq and is a predicted model, not a curated record. Lineage: Eukaryota; Metazoa; Chordata; Actinopteri; Anguilliformes; Anguillidae.
AUGAAGCCGGACACCAUGUUCUUUCUGCUUUAUGCCACAGCACUGGUGGUUUUUGGUGAACACAAAGCUGCACAGUCAGGUCCUGCUGUUCUUCUGACUGCUAAUCCUCCAUGGCCAGAUGUGUUCCCAGGAGAGACAAUUACUCUCAGCUGUCAGGUUAUUGAAUCUGAGGGAUGGACAUUUGUGUGGACCAGAUACA